GGUGAUAGACAAAGUUCAUAUGUGGUAUUUCGCCUUAUAGUUAUAUUGCUGAAGAAGAAUGUUGAGCCGAACUAAUAACUAUUUUUUCGCGCACUGCCUCAACUUUACCUGCACGACCUUUGAUUCAUCACCUUAAAAAAUUAUGGAUUAUAAAUCAAAAUAAUCAGUAAAAGCUUCACUAGAGCUAAAGAAAAAAGUAUACAAAUCAAACAGUGAACAAAUAAACUAUACAUGGAUUAAACAUAGAAAAUUAAAGAUGAUGAUGAUGAAGUCUUUGAUAGUCUGUUAGCAGCCCAAAUCGGGUAUCUAAGUUAAAUAACCUCUAAUAUUACAUAAUUUUGAGAAAUAUGGGGAUAGACAAUAAUAAGUGCAGUAAAUGUGGGCUUCUUCUUUUUUAACACAACAAAUAUGUGCUUAAAUGUGAAAACAUGACUAACUAAUAUUCUAAAUUCUAAGAGAUAUUACAAUUACUUUUAAUUUACUACAUAGUAUAACAAAGUUAGGUAUCUAAGUUAGAAAAUUCAUAGGGUAUCUCCCGUGAGCCCAAAAAGAAUUAUACAUACAUAUAGACCUGGCAAAAUUUAGUUUGGGUUUGGGUUAAAUAAUACUCCGUCCAUUUCACAUUAUAAGAUUAUUAAUACUUCGUUUUUUUUCAAAUUAUAAAAUUAUUAUUGACAUUUGAAAGUCAAUUUGAGACAUUUUCAAACUCAAAUCGACAAGAUUCAUUAAAGUUAUGAAGCAAUAAAGCUUAUAAUUAGUAGUACUUUUUAGACUAUUACACUAUUCUUAAUUUUAUUGACUAAAACAAAUGAAUCUAUGUCAAUUUUGAGUUCAAAAAUAUCUCAAAUUGACUUAAUAAACAUCUUAUAUUUUGCAAUGAAGGGAGUAUACGCUUUUAGGUUAGUUAAAAACCAAAAGUAUAUAACCUAUUGAGUAGGUUGAACCCAGAUAAUUUUGGGUUAAAACUAAGUAACAUAUAUUUCAGACCAUGAGAGAGGAUCCAAUGCUUGUGAUAGGCUUCAUACACACAAGGCUUGAAACACCAAAUGUAACAAGCAAAAUUUAACAUUGAGGAAUAGUGUAUCGAUUCAUGAUUCAAGAGAGGAUUUGAAACUAAGGGCAAACAGAUAAGCUUGAUAUAUAUAUAUAUAUAUAUAUAGCCAGCGGAUCCAGUCCGGACCCGGACUGAAGUAAAAUACGGACCUAAUUUUUUUUUUGGCUUUUUUGCUUUUUUUUUUAAACUAAAAAAAAAAAAAAUUAUGGAACUGAAAUUUUCCCAUAAUAUAAUGUUUUGGGUGUGAUUUGGAUACCUAUACCAAAAAAUGUAUGUAUAGUCUGCACAGACUGUACAGACAUGUUUUGUUAUAUGUAUUCAAAUCACACACAAAACACUGUAUUAUGUAAAAAUUCCAGUUCCAUAAAUUUUUAUUUAUUUUUUUUUAGUUGUUUUAAAAAAAAAAGCAAAAAAAAAAAGUCCGCAUUUUAAGAAAAUGCGGGAGUCCGGAUUGGAACCGGACUCUCUCUCUCUCUCUCUAUAUAUAUAUAUAUAUAUAGAGAGAGAGAGAGAGAGAGAAGGCUGAGGGAAUAGAGGACCAAGUGUCAAAGUAAAACAGAGGAUUAGAAUUUGACGACAAAAUUGUGGUGGUUGAGGUAUUAGAUUUGACAAAGGUGGCUUCACUAAUAUGGAGGAGAGCUGGGUGGCGGCGUUAACGAUGGCGGAGAAGGAGCUGAUGAAGAGAAUAGAAAGAAAAAACGAUGUUAGUGUGACACGGAAAAUUUUCCUCUUCAUUAGCCGCGUCGACCUGCUACAUUAUUUUUCUUUGUCUGGAUUUGUAUCAUAUAUUAAUGUUGAUCACCAUUUGCUGGACUAUUUUUCCUUGUAUGAUUCUUGUAAUCUUUGCUUAUGGAAUGAUAUUUAUUCUUUUGUUUCUAGUCCAGACACUUCAUUCUCAUAUCUCAGCACACAAAAGGAAACCACAUUUAUCUCAAAUGACCAAAAUAAAAAAUAAUACAGUUUAGUAUCAAGAUAAUAAGUUGUUAUUUUUACCCAAUUUUUAUAGAAGUAAAAAAUGUAAUCUUACUACUACUAAUUUGAACCCAGAUUAUAUAAAUUCCAAAAGAACUCAAUACAGAGAUGCAGCCAAAAAAAAAUCCAAUACUGGACAGUGAAAUGAAGUAAAUGUCAUCCAAUAACAUUGGAGCACAAUUCCAUUAAUAUGAAAGAACGGAGAAGGCUCAAGCAGAGAGGAUGAUAAUUAAGUUUGUGCACAGAUAAAAUCCUAGAAAUCAUUUAAGAAGAUUCCCAAGAAGAACCAAGUGAGACAGAAAAUGUAUCUUCACCUAUUACUCUCUCUUUCACACACGCAUACACAUAUAUACGGCACAGAAACUGUAGCUUCACCUCUAGUAUCCACUACUAUGAACAAGAUUAAGCAUAUUGCAUUCCCACCCACAUAGAAGGCCAUAAAAGAAUCUCAAAAAAAAUACACAAAAUUUCCAGAGAGGUAAUAGCAGAAUUAUGAAUGCAUAGAAACUGAAGCUUAUAAUUGAUUGCAACUUUGGAAUUAAACAACAUUUUGCUAUCAAACAGGCACACACGCACACACAAAAAUUGUCCCAUAUUUCAUACAAGCAUAUAAACAAACACAUAGCCUACUGCCAUAAUCAAAAUCGAGUAUGAGAGUUUUUCAUCAACAAGAUACAAAAAGCAUAAACCUAAUACAUUAAUUCCAGCGUUAUUUAUACCGAACAAAGGCAUGAUUCGAAUUAAGACCCAACAAAAAAUCUUGAAUUAAAUGAGAAGAUGAAGAAAUUCAGGGGCUUACUUUGAAUAUUUAGAGGGGAAAAUGACAGUCCUUUGCAAAUUAAUCUCAGCAAGUCGAAAUCUUUUGGAAAGCCAGAGGCUCAGAACGAAUUAUUGUAUUCUACUCUUCCAAAUUUUAGUAAUUUGCUUGAUCUGUGAAGAGUGAGAACCAGAUAGAGAGAGAGAGUCCUAUAGCGCAAUUAUAUUUUUC
This 3014-nucleotide long non-coding RNA is filed under the name Panax ginseng (ginseng). RNAcentral describes it as "long non-coding RNA (PGIN_LNC006987)". The record is from RNAcentral. Lineage: Eukaryota; Viridiplantae; Streptophyta; Magnoliopsida; Apiales; Araliaceae.